RNAcentral lists this ribosomal RNA (441 nucleotides) under uncultured bacterium. RNAcentral's name for it is "partial 16S ribosomal RNA". It matches the Rfam family "Bacterial small subunit ribosomal RNA", at positions 338 to 795 of the family's 1533-position model. The record is from RNAcentral.
CCUAGGGGAGGCAGCAGUGGGGAAUAUUGGGCAAUGGGCGAAAGCCUGACCCAGCAACGCCGCGUGAAGGAAGAAGGCUUUCGGGUUGUAAACUUCUUUUGACAGGGAAGAGCAGAAGACGGUACCUGUCGAAUAAGCCACGGCUAACUACGUGCCAGCAGCCGCGGUAAUACGUAGGUGGCAAGCGUUGUCCGGAUUUACUGGGUGUAAAGGGUGCGUAGGCGGAAUGCCAAGUCAGCGGUAAAAUCGCGGGGCUCAACCUCGCUCCGCCGUUGAAACUGGCGUUCUUGAGUGGGCGAGAAGUAUGCGGAAUGCGUGGUGUAGCGGUGAAAUGCAUAGAUAUCACGCAGAACUCCGAUUGCGAAGGCAGCAUACCGGCGCCCAACUGACGCUGAAGCACGAAAGCGUGGGUAUCGAACAGGAUUAGAUACCCUAGUAGUC